CGAACGCUGGCGGCGCGCCUAACACAUGCAAGUCGAACGAGCGAGAGAGAGUUUACUUUUUCGAGCGAGUGGCGAACGGGUGAGUAACGCGUGAGGAACCUGCCUCAAAGAGGGGGACAACAGUUGGAAACGACUGCUAAUACCGCAUAAGCCCACGACCCGGCAUCGGGUAGAGGGAAAAGGAGCAAUCCGCUUUGAGAUGGCCUCGCGUCCGAUUAGCUAGUUGGUGAGGUAAUGGCCCACCAAGGCGACGAUCGGUAGCCGGACUGAGAGGUUGAACGGCACAUUGGGACUGAGACACGGCCCAGACUCCUACGGGAGGCAGCAGUGGGGAAUAUUGCACAAUGGGGGAAACCCUGAUGCAGCGACGCCGCGUGGAGGAAGAAGGUCUUCGGAUUGUAAACUCCUGUUGUUGAGGAAGAUAAUGACGGUACUCAACAAGGAAGUGACGGCUAACUACGUGCCAGCAGCCGCGGUAAAACGUAGGUCACAAGCGUUGUCCGGAAUUACUGGGUGUAAAGGGAGCGCAGGCGGGAAGACAAGUUGGAAGUGAAAUCCAUGGGCUCAACCCAUGAACUGCUUUCAAAACUGUUUUUCUUGAGUAGUGCAGAGGUAGGCGGAAUUCCCGGUGUAGCGGUGGAAUGCGUAGAUAUCGGGAGGAACACCAGUGGCGAAGGCGGCCUACUGGGCACCAACUGACGCUGAGGCUCGAAAGUGUGGGUAGCAAACAGG
Molecule: ribosomal RNA, 732 nt
Filed under: uncultured Lachnospiraceae bacterium
Lineage: Bacteria; Bacillati; Bacillota; Clostridia; Lachnospirales; Lachnospiraceae
Description: bacterial SSU rRNA
Rfam family: Bacterial small subunit ribosomal RNA
Source: RNAcentral